AAAGAAGAAGAUCAUCAAUAUAUUGAAUAAGGUUUUUGGACUUUACGAUGGCGUUUCGGAAGCAUUAAGCUCUCAGCAGAAGCCACACUCUGAAUUCCGAUCUUUUCCUGGGCUGGUGAUGGAUGCGCAGCACAGUGCCCUCCUGCAGUACUGAGCGGUGGCAGGGAGCAGCAGUCCCAGCCAGCUGUGCCAUCGCGAGGGGAAGUGGCCGGCAUGGAUCGUUAAGUCAGGGAACAUCUGUCCCUUCUUCGUGAAUAUCUGUGUUCAAGUCUCUUGCUCAUUUGUUAAAUUGGGCUUUUCAUCUUAAUUUUGGUUUGCAGUUUUCUCCCCUAUAUCCGAGGUCUGAGUCCUUUGUCAGGACACACAGUGUGAUUUCUUGCCUGGCAUUCCGUUCCUUGCUUGUCCAUUUUCAAGAGCAGAACAUUUUCACGUUGAUGGAAGCCCGAUGUCUUUCUUCUACGGUAUGUGCUCUGCAUCCAAAGCAGCCUUCGCCCAUCCCACAUUUUAGAUAAUUUUUUCUUCUAAAAACUUCACUGUUUAAGCGCUCAUGUUUGGAUCUGCAAUCUAUUUUGGAUGAAUUCUUGUGUAUGACGUGCAGUAGGAAUAAAGGCUCAUGUCUUUCCAUACGGAUAGCCAGUUUUAUUCACAGACACAGGUGGUGGCCAGACCUGGCACACGGAUGCAGCUGACCCUGGAAGCUGAAGGGCAGUGAAACCCAUCUGAUUAAGAUGCUCAACUUUUCUGAAGAAAAAGCUGACACCAAGACCUGCCUAAGGUCACACCAUCAUGAGUGGCUGAGUUGGGCUGUGAUGAGCCACCCGGCUGGAGAGCUUGUGCCCUGGUUACACGAUUGCCAGUGAGAUGCCUAUGGACUCGCAUGUAGAGGUGGGUACCCAGACAGCUCAGAGUGAGCUGCCUGCGGGCCCAGCAUGCAGAGGUGUGUACUCAGUGCUGUGUGAGAUGCCUGUGGGCCCAGGCACGGAGGGAUGCAUGCGUGCCCAGAAAGCAAAAGGCUGUGCAGAGGACCUGCUAGGAGGUAAUGACUAGAGAACAUGUUUUUAAGCAAACAGGUGAAGGGAAAAUGCAAAAUAAGGAGCUACAUAAGCAUCACAUCUUAAGAAUCAUUAUGGAGCACCUAACUGUGACUUGUUGGGCUGGGAGCCAAACAACAUAGGUGGGACACGCUGCACAUAAAAGUAACAAGCUGGAGGUCCAGAGGAACCCUUGGAGCCGUCCCAAGACUGAGAGCCGGUGUCAGGCACCACCUCUUCUGGGCACCUGGGCUAUGGCAGUGGGGAGGAUGAGCCCCUGAUCCCAGAGGCCACUCUCUCACACAGUGCAGUGCAGUCUUUCUCACACAGGACCUAGUGUAACACGGGACCUAAUGGCAGGACACAUCAACCCAUUAAAAAUCCAAGCAAGGUACAAGAGAUUUCUAGAAACAAAGAAUCAGGCUUUAUUUUU
RNAcentral lists this long non-coding RNA (1464 nucleotides) under Homo sapiens (human). RNAcentral's name for it is "HSALNT0177395". Lineage: Eukaryota; Metazoa; Chordata; Mammalia; Primates; Hominidae. The record is from RNAcentral.